CCUUAGAGUUUGAUCCUGGCUCAGGAUGAACGCUAGCUACAGGCUUAACACAUGCAAGUCGAGGGGCAGCGGGAUUGAAGCUUGCUUCAAUUGCCGGCGACCGGCGCACGGGUGAGUAACGCGUAUCCAACCUUCCGUACACUCAGGGAUAGCCUUUCGAAAGAAAGAUUAAUACCUGAUGGUAUGAUGAGAUUGCAUGAUAGCAUCAUUAAAGAUUUAUCGGUGUACGAUGGGGAUGCGUUCCAUUAGGUAGUAGGCGGGGUAACGGCCCACCUAGCCAACGAUGGAUAGGGGUUCUGAGAGGAAGGUCCCCCACAUUGGAACUGAGACACGGUCCAAACUCCUACGGGAGGCAGCAGUGAGGAAUAUUGGUCAAUGGACGAGAGUCUGAACCAGCCAAGUAGCGUGAAGGAUGAAGGUCCUACGGAUUGUAAACUUCUUUUAUAAGGGAAUAAACCCUCCCACGUGUGGGAGCUUGUAUGUACCUUAUGAAUAAGCAUCGGCUAACUCCGUGCCAGCAGCCGCGGUAAUACGGAGGAUGCGAGCGUUAUCCGGAUUUAUUGGGUUUAAAGGGAGCGCAGACGGGUCGUUAAGUCAGCUGUGAAAGUUUGGGGCUCAACCUUAAAAUUGCAGUUGAUACUGGCGUCCUUGAGUGCGGUUGAGGUGUGCGGAAUUCGUGGUGUAGCGGUGAAAUGCUUAGAUAUCACGAAGAACUCCGAUUGCGAAGGCAGCACACUAAUCCGUAACUGACGUUCAUGCUCGAAAGUGUGGGUAUCAAACAGGAUUAGAUACCCUGGUAGUCCACACGGUAAACGAUGGAUACUCGCUGUUGGCGAUAUACUGUCAGCGGCUUAGCGAAAGCGUUAAGUAUCCCACCUGGGGAGUACGCCGGCA
Molecule: ribosomal RNA, 894 nt
Filed under: uncultured bacterium
Lineage: Bacteria
Description: bacterial SSU rRNA
Rfam family: Bacterial small subunit ribosomal RNA
Source: RNAcentral